This 429-nucleotide ribosomal RNA is filed under the name Bacteroidota bacterium. RNAcentral's name for it is "Bacteroidetes bacterium partial 16S ribosomal RNA". It matches the Rfam family "Bacterial small subunit ribosomal RNA", at positions 355 to 776 of the family's 1533-position model. Lineage: Bacteria; Pseudomonadati; Bacteroidota. The record is from RNAcentral.
UAGGGAAUCUUACGCAAUGGACGCAAGUCUGACGGAGCAACGCCGCGUGAGUGAAGAAGGAUUUCGGUUCGUAAAACUCUGUUGUUAGAGAAGAACAGCGCAUAGAGUAACUGUUAUGCGUGUGACGGUAUCUAACCAGAAAGCCACGGCUAACUACGUGCCAGCAGCCGCGGUAAUACGUAGGUGGCAAGCGUUGUCCGGAUUUAUUGGGCGUAAAGCGAGCGCAGGCGGUCAAUUAAGUCUGAUGUGAAAGCCCCCGGCUCAACCGGGGAGGGUCAUUGGAAACUGGUUGACUUGAGUGCAGAAGAGGAGAGUGGAAUUCCAUGUGUAGCGGUGAAAUGCGUAGAUAUAUGGAGGAACACCAGUGGCGAAGGCGACUCUCUGGUCUGUAACUGACGCUGAGGUUCGAAAGCGUGGGUAGCAAACAGG